UAGGGAAUCUUCGGCAAUGGGGGGAACCCUGACCGAGCAACGCCGCGUGAGUGAAGAAGGUUUUCGGAUCGUAAAGCUCUGUUGUUAAGGAAGAACGAGUGUGAGAAUGGAAAGUUCAUGCUGUGACGGUACUUAACCAGAAAGGGACGGCUAACUACGUGCCAGCAGCCGCGGUAAUACGUAGGUCCCGAGCGUUGUCCGGAUUUAUUGGGCGUAAAGCGAGCGCAGGCGGUUAGAAAAGUCUGAAGUGAAAGGCAGUGGCUCAACCAUUGUAGGCUUUGGAAACUGUUUAACUUGAGUGCAGAAGGGGAGAGUGGAAUUCCAUGUGUAGCGGUGGAAUGCGUAGGUAUAUGGAGGACCACCGGUGACGAAAGCGGCUCUCUGGUCUGUAACUGACGCUGAGGCUCGAAAGCGUGGGGAGCGAACAGG
RNAcentral lists this ribosomal RNA (429 nucleotides) under Bacteroidota bacterium. Its description in RNAcentral is "Bacteroidetes bacterium partial 16S ribosomal RNA". It matches the Rfam family "Bacterial small subunit ribosomal RNA", at positions 355 to 776 of the family's 1533-position model. The record is from RNAcentral. Lineage: Bacteria; Pseudomonadati; Bacteroidota.